UACGUAGGGACCAAGCGUUUGUUCGGAUUUACUGGGCGUAAAGGGCGCGUAGGCGGCGUGUCAAGUCAAUUGUGAAAUCUCCGAGCUUAACUCGGAACGGUCAAUUGAUACUGAUGUGCUAGAGUGCAGAAGGGGCAAUCGGAAUUCUUGGUGUAGCGGUGAAAUGCGUAGAUAUCAAGAGGAACACCUGAGGUGAAGACGGGUUGCUGGGCUGACACUGACGCUGAGGCGCGAAAGCUAGGGUAGCAAACGGG
RNAcentral lists this ribosomal RNA (254 nucleotides) under uncultured bacterium. RNAcentral's name for it is "partial 16S ribosomal RNA". It matches the Rfam family "Bacterial small subunit ribosomal RNA", at positions 524 to 776 of the family's 1533-position model. The record is from RNAcentral.